Long non-coding RNA from Panicum virgatum (switchgrass), 667 nucleotides. RefSeq lists it as uncharacterized. Lineage: Eukaryota; Viridiplantae; Streptophyta; Magnoliopsida; Poales; Poaceae. The transcript is spliced from 3 exons. The record is from RefSeq and is a predicted model, not a curated record.
CCCUUCUGUGAUUGCAGGUUAGCUUCCUGGUUUGCUGCGUUUCCUCGAUCGACGUGGUGGACAGGCGGCGGCCAGGCGUAUUCUGGUUCUGCUAUGGAUCGCCGGUGAUGGAUUAUUGACGUCCAUUAUAUGAAGUUUGGUGAACACUGCUUCGUUGCGCGAACAAAGAACCCGCUUGGGCGACGAGGCGGCCAGACAGGUUUUGAUUCUGUUCCCCGUCGAUGGAUAGUCGCCGGCCAUUGUCUGAUCUGACCAACACCUCUAUCACUCGUGGGGUCCGAAAAUGAUCAAGAACAGAUGCUGGGUUGCAUGAUGGUCUGAACACAAACCCUGACGAACGAGGAUUGGCUUUUGGUGAUGAAAACACUCCAUGCCCGAAUGAACGAACGAGGUCAAGUUCUAGGCAAAGACAUGCUUCCAUGUCUGAGGACAAAAGGGCCGCGCUUAACGCCAAGCGCCGGGAGAACUACCAUCGUAAGAAGGCUGAAGUCCUUGCGGCAUCAGAUGCUUCACCCGUGGGUGUCGUGCCGUUACCGACUCCGCUAUCUGGACAGUCGGCGGUAUAUUUGACCCUCGGUGAAGUUACACCUGGAUCAAGAGGUGUCGUUCCGUUAUCUACUCCGAUCCCAUGACUGGACUGUCAGCGGUAUAUUUGAACCAGGGCGAA